RNAcentral lists this long non-coding RNA (355 nucleotides) under Setaria italica (foxtail millet). Its description in RNAcentral is "long non-coding RNA (SITA_LNC006679)". Lineage: Eukaryota; Viridiplantae; Streptophyta; Magnoliopsida; Poales; Poaceae. The record is from RNAcentral.
GGACUUGGGAGCCGGUCAGCAUCCAGCCGAAUCACUGCCUUCACAUUGUAAAUUACAUCUGGAAGGUCCCAAUCCGCAAACAAAGGUAUGUACUACGUAGUACUAACUACUGAGUCACAUAUCUAAAAUCAUCGAUAAUCGUUUGUAAAUCUAAUGCACAAGUACGACAAGUGUAAUUACAUUUUUUUUUCUACUUUUGAUUCAGGAGCCUCCGGCACAACCAGAGGAUGAAGAACAGCUGCACCACGGAGACUAGCAGGAGGACGGCCACCAGUUCGGGUCCGAUGUUCCACUUGUUCUUGGAGCAGUGCUUCCUCCGCCGGUGGCGCCGCCGGGAAGCCAUCCUGCGCAGGUG